Molecule: ribosomal RNA, 636 nt
Filed under: Salmonella enterica
Lineage: Bacteria; Pseudomonadati; Pseudomonadota; Gammaproteobacteria; Enterobacterales; Enterobacteriaceae
Also listed under: 5 other names
Description: partial 23S ribosomal RNA
Rfam family: Bacterial large subunit ribosomal RNA
Source: RNAcentral
UGUUUCGGCUAGGGGGCCAUCCCGGCUUACCAACCCGAUGCAAACUGCGAAUACCGGAGAAUGUUAUCACGGGAGACACACGGCGGGUGCUAACGUCCGUCGUGAAGAGGGAAACAACCCAGACCGCCAGCUAAGGUCCCAAAGUCAUGGUUAAGUGGGAAACGAUGUGGGAAGGCCCAGACAGCCAGGAUGUUGGCUUAGAAGCAGCCAUCAUUUAAAGAAAGCGUAAUAGCUCACUGGUCGAGUCGGCCUGCGCGGAAGAUGUAACGGGGCUAAACCAUGCACCGAAGCUGCGGCAGCGACGCUGAUGCGUUGUUGGGUAGGGGAGCGUUCUGUAAGCCUGCGAAGGUGGCCUGUGAGGGUUGCUGGAGGUAUCAGAAGUGCGAAUGCUGACAUAAGUAACGAUAAAGCGGGUGAAAAGCCCGCUCGCCGGAAGACCAAGGGUUCCUGUCCAACGUUAAUCGGGGCAGGGUGAGUCGACCCCUAAGGCGAGGCCGAAAGGCGUAGUCGAUGGGAAACGGGUUAAUAUUCCCGUACUUGGUGUUACUGCGAAGGGGGGACGGAGAAGGCUAUGUUGGCCGGGCGACGGUUGUCCCGGUUUAAGCGUGUAGGUGUGUGUUCCAGGUAAAUCCGGUU